UCUCAGUAUGCCAAGCCUCCUGCACAAGC
RNAcentral lists this small RNA (29 nucleotides) under Bombyx mori (domestic silkworm). Its description in RNAcentral is "ovarian small RNA-29586". The record is from RNAcentral. Lineage: Eukaryota; Metazoa; Arthropoda; Insecta; Lepidoptera; Bombycidae.